AUUGAACGCUGGCGGCAUGCCUUACACAUGCAAGUCGAACGGCAGCACGGGAGCAAUCCUGGUGGCGAGUGGCGAACGGGUGAGUAAUGUAUCGGAACGUGCCCAGUCGUGGGGGAUAACGUAGCGAAAGCUACGCUAAUACCGCAUACGAUCUAUGGAUGAAAGCGGGGGAUCGCAAGACCUCGCGCGAUUGGAGCGGCCGAUAUCAGAUUAGGUAGUUGGUGGGGUAAAGGCCCACCAAGCCUGCGAUCUGUAGCUGGUCUGAGAGGACGACCAGCCACACUGGAACUGAGACACGGUCCAGACUCCUACGGGAGGCAGCAGUGGGGAAUUUUGGACGAUGGGCGCAAGCCUGAUCCAGCAAUGCCGCGUGCAGGAUGAAGGCCUUCGGGUUGUAAACUGCUUUUGUACGGAACGAAACGGCUUUUUCUAAUACAGAGAGCUAAUGACGGUACCGUAAGAAUAAGCACCGGCUAACUACGUGCCAGCAGCCGCCGUAA
Molecule: ribosomal RNA, 500 nt
Filed under: uncultured bacterium
Lineage: Bacteria
Description: partial 16S ribosomal RNA
Rfam family: Bacterial small subunit ribosomal RNA
Source: RNAcentral